RNAcentral lists this ribosomal RNA (429 nucleotides) under Actinomycetes bacterium. RNAcentral's name for it is "Actinobacteria bacterium partial 16S ribosomal RNA". It matches the Rfam family "Bacterial small subunit ribosomal RNA", at positions 355 to 776 of the family's 1533-position model. The record is from RNAcentral. Lineage: Bacteria; Bacillati; Actinomycetota; Actinomycetes.
UAGGGAAUCUUCCGCAAUGGGCGAAAGCCUGACGGAGCAACGCCGCGUGAGUGAUGAAGGUCUUCGGAUCGUAAAACUCUGUUAUUAGGGAAGAACAAAUGUGUAAGUAACUAUGCACGUCUUGACGGUACCUAAUCAGAAAGCCACGGCUAACUACGUGCCAGCAGCCGCGGUAAUACGUAGGUGGCAAGCGUUAUCCGGAAUUAUUGGGCGUAAAGCGCGCGUAGGCGGUUUUUUAAGUCUGAUGUGAAAGCCCACGGCUCAACCGGGGAGGGUCAUUGGAAACUGGAAAACUUGAGUGCAGAAGAGGAAAGAGGAAUUCCAGGUGUAGCGGUGAAAUGCGCAGAGAUAAGGAGGAACACCAGUGGCGAAGGCGACUUGCUGGUCUGUAACUGACGCUGAUGUGCGAAAGCGUGGGGAUCAAACAGG